Molecule: ribosomal RNA, 490 nt
Filed under: uncultured bacterium
Lineage: Bacteria
Description: partial 16S ribosomal RNA
Rfam family: Bacterial small subunit ribosomal RNA
Source: RNAcentral
AUUGAACGCUGGCGGCAUGCCUUACACAUGCAAGUCGAACGGCAGCAUGAUCUAGCUUGCUAGAUUGAUGGCGAGUGGCGAACGGGUGAGUAAUACAUCGGAACGUGCCCUGUAGUGGGGGAUAACUAGUCGAAAGAUUAGCUAAUACCGCAUACGACCUGAGGGUGAAAGUGGGGGACCGCAAGGCCUCAUGCUAUAGGAGCGGCCGAUGUCUGAUUAGCUAGUUGGUGAGGUAAAGGCUCACCAAGGCGACGAUCAGUAGCUGGUCUGAGAGGACGAUCAGCCACACUGGGACUGAGACACGGCCCAGACUCCUACGGGAGGCAGCAGUGGGGAAUUUUGGACAAUGGGCGAAAGCCUGAUCCAGCAAUGCCGCGUGUGUGAAGAAGGCCUUCGGGUUGUAAAGCACUUUUGUCCGGAAAGAAGUGGCUCUGGUUAAUACCUGGGGUCGAUGACGGUACCGGAAGAAUAAGAACCGGCUAACUACGUG